AGGCAAUAAUAUUACAGCUAUAUAAUGAUAAGAUACGUGUUUUUGUAUAUCAACUGUCUAGAAUUACAAAUUCUUAUUUAAAAAUAGGCUUUUUGUUUUUGUCUGUCAAAACGACAUGUAUUCCAUAAUAACAUGCUAACAUGUUGAACGUCAGCACGAUGAAUUCACAGCUAAAUGUGAGGCUACUGUAAGUAUAAGAUGCUACAUGCUACCAUGCUAUCCUGCGGAUGUUACAAGGCGUAAAAGACAAAGAACCUCCAGAAAACAAGAUUUAGUUUUUUGCAUUCUCGCCUCACAGUGCCGCUAAUAUUCCCCAAUACAGAUAUAUCAGUGCAUGUUUACAUCAACUGUGCGAACACCUUUUCUUUUCUUUUGUUUUUUGUUUUUUACGACGUCAGCCCACACAUUUAGCUUCCCUUUGUUGUGGCUCGAUAAACGUUUGCUGCCAGGGACAGCCUGCGCAGAAGUAGCUAACAGAUUACGUGUGGAGGAUCCUCCGCUUGGAGAAAUGUACAUGUCAGUUCUAUGAAAACCAAGAAGAGAGACGGCCAUUGGGCCACAGUGAUUUUAAAAAAACAACAGACCCCAAACUGUGCAGAACUCAACUUGACAAGUCAAUUCAACAUCACAAAAGAAGAAGAACGCAGAAAAGAUCACUUUCCCAGAAGUACAUCAGUUCAACGUUUCUCCUCCUGGAAUACUUCAUUUAGACCACAGAAGAAGUAAAACCAGGAACAACACAGCGGAUGUAUUUAAUUGAAACGGUGGACGCAAUUCCUCCCGUGCAUUCAUAUUCAAGAGUCAAUGUUGGAAAGGAAACCUCGUAACAGACUUGUGAAGCCUCGAAGUAACGUUCAUCCCAUUGUUUUACUGUAGUCGUCUAUUAAACUGUCAGCUGUUUGGGGGGGGGAGGAGGGAUUAGCACCACUCUUGUGAUCCUAAAAACAUUUUAAAUAAAGGACUUGACCUUG
Long non-coding RNA from Cottoperca gobio, 971 nucleotides. RefSeq lists it as uncharacterized. The transcript is spliced from 2 exons. The record is from RefSeq and is a predicted model, not a curated record. NCBI's taxonomy places the organism in Eukaryota, Metazoa, Chordata, Actinopteri, Perciformes, Bovichtidae.